This 300-nucleotide ribosomal RNA is filed under the name uncultured Oleiphilaceae bacterium. RNAcentral's name for it is "bacterial SSU rRNA". It matches the Rfam family "Bacterial small subunit ribosomal RNA", at positions 114 to 424 of the family's 1533-position model. The record is from RNAcentral. Lineage: Bacteria; Pseudomonadati; Pseudomonadota; Gammaproteobacteria; Oceanospirillales; Oleiphilaceae.
CGCGUAGGAACCUGCCCAGUAGUGGGGGAUAGCCCGGUGAAAACCGGAUUAAUACCGCAUACGCUCUACGGAGGAAAGGGGGCUUCGGCUCUCGCUAUUGGAUGGGCCUGCGUGAGAUUAGCUAGUUGGUGAGGUAAUGGCUCACCAAGGCGACGAUCUCUAGCUGGUCUGAGAGGAUGAUCAGCCACACUGGGACUGAGACACGGCCCAGACUCCUACGGGAGGCAGCAGUGGGGAAUAUUGCACAAUGGGGGAAACCCUGAUGCAGCCAUCGCCGCGUGUGUAGAAGAAGGUCGUUUC